RNAcentral lists this ribosomal RNA (216 nucleotides) under Glomeromycotina sp. RNAcentral's name for it is "partial small subunit ribosomal RNA". The stretch from base 40 to 216 matches the Rfam family "Eukaryotic small subunit ribosomal RNA", at positions 686 to 864 of the family's 1831-position model. The record is from RNAcentral. Lineage: Eukaryota; Fungi; Glomeromycota.
GGGUCAGUAGGUCGGUCGUGCCACCGGUACGUACUGGUCUCACUGAUUCCUCCUUCCUGAAGAACCGUAAUGCCAUUAAAUUGGUGUUGCGGGGAAACAGGACUGUUACUUUGAAAAAAUUAGAGUGUUUAAAGCAAGCUAACGCUUGAAUACAUUAGCAUGGAAUAAUGAAAUAGGACGAUCGAUCCUAUUUUGUUGGUUUCUAGGAUUGACGUA